CAUGUAGGCGGUCUGCUAAGUUCGGAGUGACAGUCACCAGCUUAACUGGUGAAGUGCUUUGAAAACUGGCUGACUUGAGAGCGAGAGAGGGACAUGGAAUUCCGGGUGGAGCAGUGGAAUGCGUAGAGAUCCGGAGGAACACCAAAGGCGAAGGCAGUGUCCUGGCUCGUUUCUGACGCUGAGGUGCGAAAGCCAGGGGAGCGAACGGGAUUAGAUACCCCGGUAGUCCUGGCCGUAAACGAUGACCACCAGGCGUGGGAGGGAUCGACCCCUUCUGUGCCGUAGUCAACACAUUAAGUGGUCCGCCUGGGGAGUACGGUCGCAAGACUAAA
This 332-nucleotide ribosomal RNA is filed under the name uncultured bacterium. Its description in RNAcentral is "bacterial SSU rRNA". It matches the Rfam family "Bacterial small subunit ribosomal RNA", at positions 568 to 898 of the family's 1533-position model. The record is from RNAcentral.